RNAcentral lists this microRNA precursor (118 nucleotides) under Mus spretus (western wild mouse). Its description in RNAcentral is "microRNA 6406 (ENSMSPG00010049568.1)". The record is from RNAcentral. Lineage: Eukaryota; Metazoa; Chordata; Mammalia; Rodentia; Muridae.
CCCAACCUGGUGGUCACCCACAUUCCGCGACCUCAGGCUGACUCAUGUAGAUCCAGCUCCACAUCUGGCAUCCACAUGUGGCUGGCACUCCAGGAAGGGGGGGUCACAUCUGGCUGGA